Molecule: ribosomal RNA, 532 nt
Filed under: bacterium D16-59
Lineage: Bacteria
Description: Bacterial large subunit ribosomal RNA
Rfam family: Bacterial large subunit ribosomal RNA
Source: Rfam by way of RNAcentral
GCUUGACUGCGAGGCCGACGGGCCGGGCAGGUACGAAAGUAGGACUUAGUGAUCCGGUGGUAUGAAAGUGGGAUUGCCAUCGCUCAACGGAUAAAAGCUACCCUGGGGAUAACAGGCUUAUCACUCCCAAGAGUUCACAUCGACGGAGUGGUUUGGCACCUCGAUGUCGGCUCAUCGCAUCCUGGGGCUGCAGCAGGUCCCAAGGGUUGGGCUGUUCGCCCAUUAAAGCGGUACGCGAGCUGGGUUCAGAACGUCGUGAGACAGUUCGGUCCCUAUCCGGCGCGGGCGCAGGAUAUCUGAAAGGAGCCGGCCUUAGUACGAGAGGACCGGGCUGGACGAACCUCUGGUUUACCUGUUGUCGCACCAGCGGCAUGGCAGGGUGGCCAAGUUUGGAAGGGAUAAACGCUGAAGGCAUCUAAGCGUGAAGCCCCCCUUAAGAUGAGAUAUCCCCGGAGGAAUCCGGUAAGACCCCUUAAAGACGAUGAGGUAGAUAGGGCAGGGGUGGAAGCAUGGCAACAUGCGGAGCUGACUG